Gallus gallus (chicken) is the source of this 7681-nucleotide long non-coding RNA. RefSeq lists it as uncharacterized. The transcript is spliced from 4 exons. The record is from RefSeq and is a predicted model, not a curated record. NCBI's taxonomy places the organism in Eukaryota, Metazoa, Chordata, Aves, Galliformes, Phasianidae.
GUCCCGCCCGGCUCUUAAAGCGGGCCGACGGCUCUCCGCGGUGCUGUGGGGCCGGCUCAGGGCGAGCUGUCGGGGCGCCCAUUGUCCUGGGGGGGAAGGGGGGGGUUGACCGAGUGAGACCCCCCUGCUCGGCAGGGCCGAGGCUCUCCGGGUCCCCCCCCUGCCCGGCCUUCCAGGACACCGCGCCGACGGACGGCCGGAGAGUCUCGGGUGGGGGUGGGCGGCUGCUUGGCAGCGCGUCGGGGGCAGGACGUGCCCGGCCGCAGUACAGCCCUCAGGAAAGGUGGCUGAGGAGCGCUACCGGAGGAGCCCGGGAUCCCCGAGGUGCAUCAGUCCCGAAAUAAGGGAGAGCAGCAGCAUCGCUCCCGGCCACCAAAGGUACACUCGUUUCGGUCAAUAGCAUUUUUUUCCCCCACUUCCCCUCGGUGUUUGCUAAAGGGCGCGGAGCUGCGUGCGAGUCCCACAGCCGGAGGAGAAAGGAAACGCGAAGAGCUUCUUCCAGCGGACGCUGCUCCCCUUCCCCUCCAUCCUGCGGGGUGAGGAACGGAGGGGCUCGGAGAGCGGCGGGGGGGAGGGUGGGAGGAAUCGCUAUUUUCCUUGAAGAACAAUUCAGGACAAUUAUUAUUAAUGCACGCAGCCGGCACCUGCGCGGCUCUCUGCCCGCUUCCCGAAUGGGACUUUUACUGCCCGUAAGCGGCGAACCAGGGCCGGUAAUAGGAUCAGGAAGGGAGGCGUUAGGCGGAAUGCCGCUGCGGCACUACUCGUAAAGGCGCGCUCCCGACAAACGCCUUCGGCCGAGAGGCUGUAAACGUUUUACGGGUAAUGAGAAAGGCAAGGGUUUGGCACGAAGGGGCGGGAAGGGUCGCACCACCUUUUGCUGGACGGGGCCGUGCUCGUUGCUGAAUGCUGGCGUGGGGGCUUCGGCCCGCCGAACGACCACGGAAAGCAAACCAGUAACUUUUACAGAGGAAAGUAAAAUAUUUCAAGUCAAGAACUCCUCUAGUAGCUGAAAAUUAACUUCUGACAACACGCGAGAUUUUCCCUCCCCGCCAUAUCAAAGAAACGUCUGUACGUUAAUUUCACCCUGAAAGAUUUGAGAAAUAACAGCGCCUCAGGGCAAAUUUUCAGCUUCAGAAGGACCCUUUGAGUCGAAGUAGGCGCAGAGAGUACGCCCAAAGCCGCGCAAUACAGCCUCAUUGAUUUUGCUGCGGUGUUCGCACGCCCGGGGAGUACAGAAGCGCAGAUCCCUGAGUUCUUCUGACGAGAUUUUAAUUAGGAAAUGGAAUUCCCCGCUCUGGAGCUGUGCCUUCGUGUAGAUGAGGCAUGACGGCUGGGAGCUUUGCCGAGGGGUGGGUUGGGGUCACGGUGACGAGAGGAGCGGAGCCAGGGCCGCCCCAAACGGCGGCUCUCUUCCUUCCGUCCUCCGUUCUUCUUUCCUUCCUUUUUUUUUUUUUUUCUUUCUCCCUUCGGUAUGCUGCUGAGAACCGACCCCGUGAAUUUCCCGAAGUGGGCCCCUUGGCGUUAUCACCGCUUAAUUCGAACGUUCCUUUCAAGAGUAAAGCAGCAGAGAGGCAAGGUGCUUGCCGCUAGCUCAGCCUGUGCGUUGUUGCCGUGGAUACGGUUCUAAAGCGGUUCGAUUUUAUCGAUGCAAAAGAAAACGUUGAAAACUGAGGUAAGGAUUGGAUUAGCUCCGUGUCUGCCACCGCGGUGCAGUGUGCGCUGCGCGACGCGUACGAGCGGAGCUACCGCUUGCUCAGAGCUGACCUUGAGAAAGGGAAGAGCGUGACGAGGCGGGCACCGCUCCGUCGGGCUACAGCGCAUCUGUUAUCUUUAAAUGUUUGAAUCCCUUCGUCAAGAUUAUGGCGUUAUUCCAAGUGGUAAAACGCGGCUAUUUCGCUUCUCACUGCCGCAAGAAAAUAGAAACCUCCACUUUCCCCACUCUAGAAAGCAUUUUAAACCCAAAGCAUCAGAGUGUUUUUGCUUUUUAUUUUGCUUUCCCGAUUCAAAGCUGAGACGUUACAAACGAUUACGGGUUGGAAAACCUAUCGGAAACAGUGUGGUCACGUUAUGACAAAGCGCUAAUCUGACGCUUGCAAAACGGUGACAGUUGCAACGUUGUUUUUUUUUUUUUCCUUCUCUCUCCCUUCUCCCACUUUUGUUUCCUUUCCUUUAAAGACAAAGGAUUCGAAAAACAAAAUAAAUAUUAAUAAUAAUCCCAAACGCUCCCGCGGUGACAGUUAGUCCCCCCUCCCCAGUGCAAGGAGUCAGGCCGGGCAAUUGGAAGCUCAUUUAAUUAUUUUCAUUCUAAUCGCUUUAAUCCCCCCCUCCCCCACCCCCCCCCGCCGAGAGCAAAUGACGCUAAUGGGACCCACGUGGAGAAGCCCCGGGGUGGCGGCGCGGCUCCUCCCGGCCCCGUGCCCGGGCAGGUGGAGCCGGCGGGGCGGGGCUCGCCUCGGUCAGAGGCUUUACAAUAAAUAAAAUACUGCCAUACGUUGUCGGUUGUUGUUAUUACUGAUCUUCUCUCCCACCCCCGCCGCCGCCGGCCGCUGUCUGCUCUGGGCUGGUUCCGUUUGCUGCGGAGGAGGAAUGGAAAACCUCCCCACCGAUGAAGCACGGGAUCGGUGCCGGUGAUGCGGCCUCGGAGCCGCAGGAACGCGGCAGCAGCGCUCCGCUCCGUGCCCUCGGGUGUUGGCGUCCGUGUUCGCGUACAGUACCUGCCCGCUGUUAUAAACAUCCCUCAGUACACAGCCAAUCAAUCACGCUGGCAAGCAAGCAGAUCGGGAGCCGAGAGUAUAUACAAGGCAUAAAUACAGAGACGUGAAACCCCAGUCAGCGCUGCAGUAUUUACACAUAAUUUUUCUAAGGCGCUCUCUCUAAGAGAAACCAUAUCCAGGCUAUCGGAAGUUAUGAAUUCAAGAUUAAAAAGUAGCAGAUAGUGUUAAGGAAGUAUAGUCAUUCUAAUGCUAGCGAGGGAGAUGUAAGGAAGAAAAGGAGAAAAAAAAAUGCCUGAAGCUGAAGACUUAAAAAAAAAUCCUAUUAUACUUACAGCCGGGAACACAAACUGGAGACUGUGCAGCUGAAAAACACAAAACCGGUCAUUUAAAAAUACGAUGCGAUAGAUAUAUCUGGAAAAGACAUGAGUUUACCAGAUUUUCCAGUCAGCAGAGCUUUCUUUAUGUUGCAGUCAUUUCUAGUUCUGCUUUAAUUUGAAACAUAUUUACAUCCAGGGAUAAGUCCUUGCAACUGCGCUGUGUUUUUUCAACAAUCUCUUGAUAACAAGAGGUCUGCACAGCAGGGAGUCUGUGCCUCUUGAUGUGACACUGAGGCUUUGCUGGUGGAAGGACGUGUGUGAACACGGGUGGAAUCCCUACAGUGAGGUGCGCUGCAGAUCCAGGGCAUCCCAGUAAUGCGUAGAGAAGGGUGACGUAUCAAAGCAGGGCAAAAUGAAGUUUCAGGACUUAAAAGAGAAAGGCGUAUAUUAUAUUGUGGUAAUUUAGGAGUUUCAGUGAAAUGGAGAAAUGGUUGGUGCUGCAAACUAGCAGGUUUGCUGUUCCUGUGUUGCAGGAUCCUGAACUAUGCCUUUUUCUCUGGAUAGCAGGCAGCAGGUAGGCCCUGGGAUUUGUCCUGGUGGAGGAGAAUGAUCUCAGAGGGCAGGAGCUGUGUUUCAGCAUGAGGUGUCAAGGGCAUGUGCCAAAACAGCUUAUAAAGCUGGGCACCACAGUGUUCUUGCUCAAGAGAGCCCUUGUGACCACAUCCUCUCUAUGGAGUCCAUCUCAGGCAUACUUUUUCUUGUGCAGUAAUUACAUUUGUUGUGCAUGUUUUCCAAUCAAGAAUAAAUUUGAUGCUAAACUCACUUUCACUCUACGAUUGUCAGUGUUAAAUUGUAUAAGGGGCCAAAACCAAACACUACUGAUGUCAGCAGAGUAGUUUUUGAUGAUGCCCUGCAAGCUGGCUGGGUACAGUAGGCAUAAAUAGUAUGGAAAGUUGGUUUUGUUGGCCUCCUAGACACUUAAAAUAAUGUGUUUAAAUAUACGUAUUGCCAGCACAACAGGGAUUGGAUUAUUCAUCUGCUUACAUUUAAGGUGCCCCCCAUCCUCCCCAUUAAGGACUGUGUUUAAAAUGGAUUGGAUUACUCACUUGCUUAAAUGAUAUUUCAUUUUAUAUAACCAUUUCUACUUGUCACCAUGUAAGUGAGUGCUUCAUCUAUCAGAACCUCAUCCUGCGAACUUGAUGCAUGGUUUUCUGUAGGAAUGGAUUAUGGAGUCCUUUGACAGAAACAUGUCUUGAUCUGUGGUGGAUAACACUGACACAAAAAAAAAAGGAUAGAAGCCUUAAAUGACAAUUUGCCACUGAAAUAGUACAUAAAAUAAAUAACAAUGCUUAAAAUAGUUGGUGAAGAGUCUAGAAAUAUUUAGUAACUUUGAUGUAAGUGGUAAUUUUUGUAAGCACCGUAGUCACCACAACACCAGUUUCAUGCUUUAAUCUUCUGGGGUGGUAAUUGUAAGGAGACUUCCAUCUGCUCUCAUCAGUGGAUUAAUUCAGGUUCACGUUAAGUUCACAGUCUUUUUUCACAAAAACUAUUGGCAACUGUAGGAAUGGUAUUUUAAUGCUAUGAGAACAUUGUGAAAGCUCACACUCUUUUCUGUUCUAAAGAUUCUCCAUCAUUCACUCCAGUGAUAAAUGGUUGUUGAGAAAGAUACAAACAAAGCAAGAUUUUGGAGUUAAUUCUUUAAGCUACACAUUGUGUUCUUUGAGUUUGAGAGAGAAGCAACAGUCAGUAGAUGCCAGCAUUGCAAACAAAGUGAAGAGUUUGUCUGGUGACCCAGUACAAGGUUCUUACUUCAGGAAGAACCCUCAGCUCCCUUCAGAAAGCUUGGACAACUGAAAACACGUUUAUGGCCAAGUUUGGCUUAUUUCUGUGUGCUUUCCACUAGCAAAAUUUCUCACAUACAUUUUUUUUUUUCUGGAAAUGAGGGAACAGUAUUAAAAACCUCAACCAACCAACCAAUUUGGCCUUCUCCAACCUUUGAGCAUAACCUCUGAACUCUGUGAUACGGCUACUGACAAAUCUCUUUAUGGAAGGUCUUCCAAGGACAACGUUAAUUGCCUUCCAAGGUCUUUAAGUGCCAGCCAGAGCAACCUUACAAAGACCACAUCUGUGGCUUUGUCAGCCAUGUUCUCCUGUACAGAUUACAUUUUUUUAUCAGUCUAUAAGCAGACAAACCCUCCUUGGUGAGAUCAUGUGGUACAGCUGUACCCUCAGAACUGGGGGAGAAAUCAAAAGGGCAUUUUAAUUAUUACUUAGGAAAAUUAGAUUAUGGUUUACUAAAAGUAAGAUGCCUUUUUCACUCAGACCAGUGUUCUGCUAUUGCCAGUACAGAUGAAGCUCUUCUCUUUAUUUUAGAGAUCUCCUACACAUCAUGGGCAUCAAAUUGUACUAUAUAAUUUUUGUACACAUAUUUGAAAUUUACUAUAUGUCUUCUCUCUGAGGUUAAAUGAUUUUUGACUAAAAUUACUUGUACUAAAUAACAGCCUACUUCUGGUAAGCAUAAACGUUCCAGUUUUGUUUCUCUUUGUGGACAGUAGACUACCCAAAAAGAUUUGAGGAUGCUGGUACAGAGCAAUUGAUAAUGUACGGACAUUCAUCAGCUCAGACAGUGUGCUAAGCUGUGACGUGGGUAUGUCCGGAGGUGAGGCGUUAGAGACACUCCUAAGCUCUUACUUCUUCUGAACUGUACUGACAGUCUGGCUCUACUUCUCAUUUGCUUUUAACAGUGGUGGGGUCAGAAUUUUACUAGGGUGUAUCUUGUUAAAUGCACUGUAAGGAUAAUGUAGAUAAGCCUCCUCAAGUACUGUAUUUCAGUGAUCUGUUUAGUCACUAUAGGACCCUAUAUUCUAUAUAAAAUUCUGCUUAGAUCAAGUAUGUAGCGAACAGCUUCCAGAGCAGUGUAGAGACUGUAAACCAGCAUUAGCAGAAUUGACUUGGGGAUGAAUUUGGAAUAGGGAUGAGAGUGAAUUUAUUGACAUAAGGCUGUAUGUUUGGCAACACGGGCUUCUUUUCCUAUGUAUAGAAGGAACAACUGUUUAUACUUGAAAAUAUCAACACUCACUGAGAAUACAUUUUAACUGCUGUUAUUAAGCUAGUGUUAAGAAAUUCCUGAGAACACUUUAAAAAGUAAAAAUAACAAGCUUACACAUGCUAAUCUGUGGAAGGGAAGACUGGGAUACAGAGGAAGCCUAAUUCUGGGCAGCUGUGGAGAGGAGUAGCCUUGCUGGAGUGUUGUUAGCUCUGUCAAGAGAGAAGAUGAACUGUGAGCAGGUCUGGGACCAGGUGAUUAAUGCUGCAGAAGGCAAUCAGGAUCAGAAGAGCUAGCAUUUGUAUGGCAAUGGGCUGCAGCCUCUUCAUUCAGAAAGAAGUUAUCCCACAGCUUCCUGAGGAACAGACACAGAGUACUGGUACAAACUGGUAAGAUGCAUGGCCAAAAUUCAAAGGACAUGCAGUAGUGGAAUCACAGAGUACCUUGGGAGUACGAUCAAGUAUGAUCAUACUCAUGUAAUCAGGUUUGGGAUCCUCUAACUAAAUCUUCCAGAAUGCUUGAUCAAGUAGCUAUUGUCACAGCACGCCAAUGAACAGACUUACUAAAACUGGGAUCAAUUAAGUAUCUAUCACUAUUUUCUUUUAAAACAUACAUGGAGAAAGUAGCAGUGCACUGAAAAAGAAACUGCCCCAAACUUCCAUUAUAGAGGACUUCUGGAGGAUGACUACGAUAACUUUAUCUUUGCCCUUGGUACAUAUGCUUAAUUCUUGCAUGCAACCUCCCACCCCUUUUCAAACAAGGCAGAAAAUUGUCUAACUUAAUGAAAAGUUGUGAUUCUUAAAAAUGAAAAAAUUGCUUAUCUACCACUCUACAGAAUGAUUCAAACCUCAAAAGAAAAAAGAACAGAUGAGAUGUUUAUUGUCAUUUUUUGUUUAUUGGAUAUUUCUAAAAGAAUUCACACAUGGCACGUUGAGUGAGGUGCUUUCUAUCCACUCUGAGAUGCUAAUAUAAUGUACAACAUGAGUUGGGUGCUAAUCAAUUAACACUAUUCAGAAUUUCUUGUGAAGACCAGAAGCUGUUAUUUAUAGGAGUAAUUUUUUUUUUCCUCCUGGAUUUACAGAAACUUUUAGCAUAUUCUCCUGUUUUUAAUUUAUCUUCUUGGUUGUUACAUGGGCCUUGAAGCUUUCUAAACCUUGUUAAUAGAUGUAUUCAACUACUCCAGAAAGAACACAUUCUGCCUGCCUGGAGGCUUUGUUCUCUAUCUGUUUGAGGAUAGGAACUGAGAGUCACUAGAAAUUGAGAGAAAUGUAGAUUAAUGAAUUGUACUCUCAUAUCAGUGUAAAAUUAAAACCACUAUCUCCGAUGUCAACAGAGGUGCCAGGGAAAAGAGAAUUAGACUCUGAGCUGCAUUUGUGGUCCCAGAAGAAAACUUUUCCUGAUAAGAUUGUAACUUGUUGAAACUUCAAAAUUCGUGGAAUUCCUACUUGCAUGUGUGUAACAUCUGAAGAGUGUAUUUUAGGAAGCAGUAUUCUGCAGUCUUCGUGUAAAAGUACUUUAAUACUUUAAAAGUUACUUUAAGCACAUGCUUAUCCUUGUUUUUACAGAAUACUUAUAAAAUUUUCCAACUUUUUUUUUUUUUUUUU